GCCAGAGGUUACUGCUAUCGAGGUCCGACUAAGCCAUGCGAGUCGAAUGUAGCAAUACAUGGCAAACUGCUCAGUAACACGUGGACAACCUACCCUGAAGCUGGGGAUAAACCCGGGAAACUGGGUAUAAUACCCGAUAGACCUGAGAUGCUGGAAUGCGUUCAGGUCGAAAGCUCCGGCGCUUCAGGAUGGGUCUGCGGCCUAUCAGGUAGUAGUGGGUGUAAAGUACCUACUAGCCUACGACGGGUACGGGUUGUGAGAGCAAGAGCCCGGAGAUGGAUUCUGAGACACGAAUCCAGGCCCUACGGGGUGCAGCAGGCGCGAAAACUUUACAAUGCCGGCAACGGCGAUAAGGGGACCUCGAGUGCCAGGAUACAAUCUUGGCUGUCGUGAUGCCUAAAAAGCAUUAUAUAGCAAGGGCCGGGCAAGACCGGUGCCAGCCGCCGCGGUAACACCGGCGGCUCGAGUGGUAACCGCUAUUAUUUGGUCUAAAGGGUCUGUAGCCGGCCKGAUAAGUCUCUUGGGAAAUCUGGCAGCUCAACUGUCAGGCUAUCAGGAGAUACUGUCUGGCUCGAGACCGGGAGAGGUGAGAGGUACUUCAGGGGUAGGGGUGAAAUCUUGUAAUCCUUGAAGGACCACCAGUGGCGAAGGCGUCUCACCAGAACGGACCUGACGGCAAGGGACGAAAGCUAGGGGCACGAACCGGAUUAGAUACCCGGGUAGUCCUAGCCGUAAACGAUACUCGCUAGGUGUCGGCCACGGUGCGACCGUGUCGGUGCCGUAGGGAAGCCGUGAAGCGAGCCACCUGGGAAGUACGGCCGCAAGGCUGAAACUUAAGGAUUGGGCGGGGGGGAGCA
RNAcentral lists this ribosomal RNA (857 nucleotides) under uncultured archaeon. RNAcentral describes it as "bacterial SSU rRNA". It matches the Rfam family "Archaeal small subunit ribosomal RNA", at positions 16 to 880 of the family's 1478-position model. The record is from RNAcentral.